AUUUAUAUAGUUUAUAAAAACCUUACAUUUUCAUUGUAAAAAUAAAGAAAUAUUAUCUUUUAUAAAUU
Molecule: transfer RNA, 68 nt
Filed under: Ocydromia sp. DY-2020
Lineage: Eukaryota; Metazoa; Arthropoda; Insecta; Diptera; Hybotidae
Description: tRNA-Glu
Source: RNAcentral